CGUGUAGGCGGUCAGGUAAGUGGAAUGUGAAAUGCCCCGGCUCACCCGGGGACCGGCAUCCCAAACUGCCUGGCUUGAGUAUGGGAGAGGAUGGAGGAAUUCCUGGUGUAGCGGUGAAAUGCGUAGAUAUCAGGAGGAACACCGGUGGCGAAGGCGUCCAUCUGGCCCAAUACUGACGCUGAGGCGCGAAAGCUAGGGGAGCAAACG
Molecule: ribosomal RNA, 207 nt
Filed under: uncultured Latescibacterota bacterium
Lineage: Bacteria; Pseudomonadati; Candidatus Latescibacterota
Description: uncultured Latescibacteria bacterium partial 16S ribosomal RNA
Rfam family: Bacterial small subunit ribosomal RNA
Source: RNAcentral